GAUGCAUCACUCUUAACAUUUACGUCUUACGUUUUUCGGAUGCCACGAACUAUAAUCGCUACAUUAUUCAAAAUUAUUAUUAAUGCUCAUCAGGUGAUCCAUGAACGUGUCUGAAUUCAUCGUUUGUGCUUGCCUUUACCGUGUCGCGUAUAUAAUUCGGGCAAAAUUUUACUUUAGAGUCAGUGUCAAAUUAUUAGUUCUGGAAGAACCAUACAGCCGAAGAAGUAGUAACACUUUCACUUGAUUCCUCAAAAUGGAUAAGAAACAAGCUGGCAAACCAAAUCAAACCAACGCAGGUCCUAAACCAAAUGCCGGCCCGGGUGGUAAUGCACCAAAGUCAGACCAUCAAUCUACUCCAGCUAAUCCGAACAAUACCAGAAAUGUUGGCGCUAAAAAAUAAAGGUUGUCGCUCGCUGAACAAAGUGUUCAUCACUUCAUCAUCAUUUUAUAAAUAUAUAAAAUUGAAAACCAAUAAAAUGAUUGAAACAUAA
This is a long non-coding RNA of Bradysia coprophila, 491 nucleotides long. The record is from RefSeq and is a predicted model, not a curated record. Lineage: Eukaryota; Metazoa; Arthropoda; Insecta; Diptera; Sciaridae.